This 498-nucleotide ribosomal RNA is filed under the name uncultured bacterium. RNAcentral describes it as "partial 16S ribosomal RNA". It matches the Rfam family "Bacterial small subunit ribosomal RNA", at positions 30 to 523 of the family's 1533-position model. The record is from RNAcentral.
AUUGAACGCUGGCGGCAUGCCUUACACAUGCAAGUCGAACGGUAACAGGUCUUCGGAUGCUGACGAGUGGCGAACGGGUGAGUAAUACAUCGGAACGUGCCUAGUAGUGGGGGAUAACUACUCGAAAGAGUGGCUAAUACCGCAUGAGAUCUACGGAUGAAAGCAGGGGAUCGCAAGACCUUGUGCUACUAGAGCGGGCGAUGGCAGAUUAGGUAGUUGGUGGGAUAAAAGCUUACCAAGCCGACGAUCUGUAGCUGGUCUGAGAGGACGAUCAGCGACACUGGGACUGAGACACGGCCCAGACUCCUACGGGAGGCAGCAGUGGGGAAUUUUGGACAAUGGGCGAAAGCCUGAUCCAGCAAUGCCGCGUGCAGGAUGAAGGCCUUCGGGUUGUAAACUGCUUUUGUACGGAACGAAAAGCCCCGGGUUAAUACCCUGGGGUCAUGACGGUACCGUAAGAAUAAGCACCGGCUAACUACGUGCCAGCCGCCGCGGUAA